Molecule: long non-coding RNA, 1014 nt
Organism: Myotis lucifugus (little brown bat)
Lineage: Eukaryota; Metazoa; Chordata; Mammalia; Chiroptera; Vespertilionidae
Exons: 3
Source: RefSeq, a predicted model, not a curated record
UUUUCUGAUUCACUGGACUCUAUUUCUUGCGCCGCCUCCUGAGCCACCUAACCUAACAUUUGGUGCCUUGAAACCCGGGUGGCGCGAGCACUCCAUUUGGCCGUCCCUCCGCGGCUCGGGGUGCCCGCCUCUCCCUCCUCGUGGCUCUGGACCCAUCAGGACCUCAUUUCUUCAGCUCGGCAACUUUUCCCAAUUUGGCAGCAUCAGCGGCUCACCGAGUGCCUCCCACCAUCCCCGAAGAAGAUUCGGCGACACCAUCCAGGACCGGAUGACCCAUCAUUCCUCACAGGCUCUUACCUGGCAAGCGACCCUCCAAUUUUGCUCAGGUUUUUCAUAUUUUCAGGGGAAACAGAUACGGAAUGAUGAGGGAGUCAUCAAUUCUACUGUCUGGGAUGGGAAAUCCUCUAGUGUCACUCUCUACUUACAAACCCUGGACCUACUCCUACGCCCACACUCAUCAACACAACUUUCCAUCUACUCUCUAACAUCAAUCCCUCCUCUACAUCCUGCUGGAUUCGUCUGUCACUGGCUUGAACCCUCAUCAUAGCCACUCAAUUCCAACCUAUUGGACCAUCUAACUAAAUUCUCUCUAGAAAUUCACAGCUCCUGGACCGGACCUCCUGCCCAUGGCCUUGACCAGAAGUCCGGGCUACACCAAGGAGCCCCACUUUCCUGAGCCCUUUUGACCCUUCUUGCUCAACCACUGUCUCCUUACUGAUCCCCCUCCCCUGGGUACGUAUCUCCCAUAUCUGUCUUUACCCAGGCAAUUGCUCCGAGAACACGAGAACAGGUUUCUGCCCAAGCCAGAGCCGACCGACCAGGACUCCCAGGACCCCCAGGACCAGCCCUUCACCCUGGUGACUCAGUCCUCCUUAAGAACCUACAUCCACAAGCCUUGGAGCCUAGGUGGACAGGACUUCACACUGUAAUCCGCACAGCCCCCACUGUGGCCAAGCUGCUUGGUGACCCCGGCUUGACGACCUGUCCUGGCACCGCUUCUCCAGAGACCUGUCC